UGGGGAAUUUUGGACAAUGGGCGAAAGCCUGAUCCAGCAAUGCCGCGUGUGUGAAGAAGGCCUUCGGGUUGUAAAGCACUUUUGUCCGGAAAGAAAUCCUUGGCUCUAAUACAGUCGGGGGAUGACGGUACCGGAAGAAUAAGCACCGGCUAACUACGUGCCAGCAGCCGCGGUAAUACGUAGGGUGCAAGCGUUAAUCGGAAUUACUGGGCGUAAAGCGUGCGCAGGCGGUUUGCUAAGACCGAUGUGAAAUCCCCGGGCUCAACCUGGGAACUGCAUUGGUGACUGGCAGGCUAGAGUAUGGCAGAGGGGGGUAGAAUUCCACGUGUAGCAGUGAAAUGCGUAGAGAUGUGGAGGAAUACCGAUGGCGAAGGCAGCCCCCUGGGCCAAUACUGACGCUCACGCACGAAAGCGUGGGGAGCAAACAGGAUUAGAUACCCUGGUAGUCCACGCCCUAAACGAUGUCAACUAGUUGUUGGGGAUCCAUUUUCCUUAGUAACGUAGCUAACGCGUGAAGUUGACCGCCUGGGGAGUACGGUCGCAAGAUUAAAACUCAAAUGAAUUGACGGGGUCAUAGCUGUUUCCU
This 586-nucleotide ribosomal RNA is filed under the name uncultured bacterium. Its description in RNAcentral is "partial 16S ribosomal RNA". It matches the Rfam family "Bacterial small subunit ribosomal RNA", at positions 355 to 1375 of the family's 1533-position model. The record is from RNAcentral.